UAAUACGGAGGGUGCAAGCGUUGUUCGGAAUUAUUGGGCGUAAAGCGGGCGCAGGCGGUCGUGCAAGUCGGAUGUGAAAUCCCUGGGCUCAACCCAGGAACUGCAUUCGAAACUGUACGACUAGAGUCUCGGAGAGGGUGGCGGAAUUCCCGGUGUAGAGGUGAAAUUCGUAGAUAUCGGGAGGAACACCAGUGGCGAAGGCGGCCACCUGGACGAUGACUGACGCUCAGGUCCGAAAGCGUGGGGAGCAAACAGGAUUAGAUACCCUGGUAGUCCACGCCGUAAACGUUGGGUGCUCGUCGUAGCGGGUAUUGACCCCUGCUGUGACCAAGCUAACGCAUGAAGCACCCCGCCUGGGGAGUACGGUCGCAAGACUA
RNAcentral lists this ribosomal RNA (377 nucleotides) under uncultured delta proteobacterium. Its description in RNAcentral is "bacterial SSU rRNA". It matches the Rfam family "Bacterial small subunit ribosomal RNA", at positions 521 to 896 of the family's 1533-position model. The record is from RNAcentral. Lineage: Bacteria; Deltaproteobacteria.